UACGAGGGGUGCAAGCGUUGCUCGGAAUUAUUGGGCGUAAAGGGUAGGUAGGUGGUCUCAUUUGUCUGGGGUGAAAGCCUCGAGCUUAACUCGAGAAGUGCCUCGGAAACGGUGAGACUAGAGUCUUGGAGAGGGUCGUGGAAUUCCCGGUGUAGCGGUGAAAUGCGUAGAGAUCGGGAGGAACACCAAUGGCGAAGGCAGCUCGCUGGGACGUUACUGACGCUGAGACGCGAAAGCGUGGGGAGCAAACAGG
This 253-nucleotide ribosomal RNA is filed under the name uncultured bacterium. RNAcentral's name for it is "partial 16S ribosomal RNA". It matches the Rfam family "Bacterial small subunit ribosomal RNA", at positions 524 to 776 of the family's 1533-position model. The record is from RNAcentral.